RNAcentral lists this ribosomal RNA (477 nucleotides) under uncultured bacterium. Its description in RNAcentral is "partial 16S ribosomal RNA". It matches the Rfam family "Bacterial small subunit ribosomal RNA", at positions 28 to 507 of the family's 1533-position model. The record is from RNAcentral.
GAUUAACGCUGGCGGCGUGCAUAACACAUGCAAGUCGAACGAUGAAGAUUAUUAGACUUCUUCGGAAUGAAAAUAAUUGGAUUAGUGGCGGACGGGUGAGUAACGCGUGAGUAACCUGCCUUACACAAGGGGAUAGCCGUUGGAAACGACGAAUAAUACCCUAUGAAACUAUCACUUCGCAUGAAGCGAUAGUCAAAGUGUUAGCGGUGUAAGAUGGACUUGCGUCUGAUUAGCUAGUUGGUGAGAAAAAAGCCCACCAAGGCAACGAUCAGUAGCCGGCUGGAGAGAGUGUACGGCCACAUUGGGACUGAGACACGGCCCAGACUCCUACGGGAGGCAGCAGUGGGGAAUUUUGCACAAUGGGGGAAACCCUGAUGCAGCGACGCCGCGUGAUUUAGAAGGCCUUCGGGUUGUAAAAAUCUUUUGUAUAGGAAGAAAAUGACAGUACUAUACGAAUAAGGUCCGGCUAAUUACGUG